Rosa chinensis is the source of this 2537-nucleotide RNA transcript. It is a transcript of the gene named serine/threonine-protein kinase STY46, with no coding region annotated. NCBI's taxonomy places the organism in Eukaryota, Viridiplantae, Streptophyta, Magnoliopsida, Rosales, Rosaceae. The record is from RefSeq and is a predicted model, not a curated record. The transcript has 15 exons.
AAAAUAGAAAAUGAAGUCCGGCGAGGUCACUCUCUUUCUCCUUUCUAUCUCUACUUUCCUGACACAUUCUCUUCCCCUUUUACGACUUCAAACUUCGUCUCCUCUCUCUCCUCUUCUCUGCAACAGUCAUUUCUCUGACGAAACUGCCCCUGUAGUUGUUCACUGACUUCCGGACCCCGUCCUCUUCUCCUCCAGAUUCUUCUAGCAACAGUCGAAGAUUCUCUGUGCUGAUCAGACGAGUUUUCUCUCAUGGCGAAACUGGCGACGAGUUGAGGUGGUAUGGAUUUGACUGAAGGCGUCGGAGAGAGCUCGUCGCCGCCGAGAAGCUUUGGUAGCUUCAAUAACUACGAUGUGAGGAACGAUGUCUAUAAUCGAUUGGUGGAGAGUCGUCAUCUUCAGGCUCUGACUCAACCGGACUUCCGUGAGCAGUUGGACGCUCACUUCAAUCGCUUGCCUGCUAGUUAUGGGCUUGACGUUAACAUGGACAGAGUGGAAGAUGUUUUGAUACAUCAAAAGCUUCUCACAUUGGCAAAGGACCCGGAGAAACGGCCUGUUUAUCAUACCCGAUUCUUGGAGAGUAUCUCUACGGGGACAGAUGAUGAUGAGGAUGAACAAUUCACUAGUAAUGUUUCAACCUCAAGGCUAUCAUGUAACGAAAUCAAUGAAGUAGCUGCGCAGCCACAUGAUAGAACUAGGAAUUGUGCUGUUGACUUUGAACCUUGCUCUAGGCUCGGAGACCUAAAUUUGGAUGUUAGAAAGAAUGCUAAGGAUGUCGAUGAAAGAGAUGUGCUGGAGAGUUUUCCCAGAAGGCAAGAUAUAUCACAUAUGCUCACUCAUGAAGUAAUUUUUUCAUCCAUUGACAAGCCUAAGCUUCUUAGCCAGCUUUCUGCAUUGCUUUCGGAUAUAGGACUUAACAUCCGCGAAGCACAUGUCUUCUCGACCACUGAUGGCUACUCCUUAGAUGUAUUUGUGGUGGAUGGAUGGCCUGUUGAGGAUACAGAUGGUUUAAAUGAAGCUAUUGAAAAAGCAAUUGCUAGAAGUGAGGGAUCAUGGUCAAGAUCUUCACAUUCUCAUUCAUCUGGAGUGAAAGCGAUAGUGGCACAAGAAAAACCUGGAAGCUGGGAAAUAGACAGGAGACUAUUGAAGAUAGGAGAGAGAAUUGCAUCUGGAUCCUGUGGAGAUUUGCACCGUGGAAUUUAUCUUGGUCAAGAUGUUGCUGUUAAGAUUCUACGAUCUGAGCAUUUGAAUGCUGCUCUAGAGGAUGAGUUUGCUCAAGAAGUGGCCAUUUUAAGAGAGGUCCAUCACAGAAAUGUUGUGCGUUUUAUUGGGGCAUGCACAAAGUCCCCACAUUUAUGCAUAGUGACAGAGUACAUGCCUGGUGGAAGUCUCUAUGAUUAUUUGCACAAGAGUCGUAAUGUCUUGAAGCUUUCUGAACUGCUAAAGUUUGCAAUUCAUGUCUGCAAAGGAAUGGAGUAUUUGCAUCGUAAUGAUAUAAUCCAUAGGGAUUUGAAGACAGCAAAUCUGCUAAUGGACACUAACAAUGUUGUAAAGGUGGCGGAUUUUGGUGUUGCUCGGUUCCAAACACAAGGGGGAGUAAUGACUGCAGAGACGGGAACCUAUAGAUGGAUGGCACCUGAGGUUAUCAAUCAUCAACCAUAUGAUCAGAAAGCAGAUGUGUUCAGUUUCGCCAUUGUUCUUUGGGAGCUGGUGACAGCCAAAGUUCCAUAUGAUACAAUGACUCCAUUACAAGCUGCCUUGGGAGUUAGACAGGUUUAUGGUUUAAUCUGAAUAUAUAUUUUUUUAUGUAUGCGAGGGCACAUACACAUGUUUUGACAUAAGCCAUAAUACCAUGGUUGAACUUGAGAACUUUAAGAUGGAUAGAUGUUACAGAAACAUUUACAUGGGUAUCCUUUCCUCUAUUUACCUCUUUUCCCUCUCUUUCUAAUUUUUUGAAAUGAUAGACUUGAUGCACAUCAAGAUUGUUUGCCAAGUGCUUCUAAAUUUUCAUCGUCUUCAUUUCCUCCAGCCAAUAAAUACAAAUAGGGUGACCCACCAUACACCUUCACAAGACCUUGGCAUUCUACCACCCGAACACAUCAUGCACUCUUCUGUCCAGAAAAAAGAGCAAUCAUGGACAGGAACCAACUGAGAAUCCCCUCCCUAUUUAAUUAACUUCAACUCCAGACUUGUACCAUUCGGGAAUGUAGUAAGAUGUGUUAUGUUAGUCCUCCCUUUUAUUCUACACAUAUGCAUCAAUUGGGAGAUUAGGAGUGCCUGGUCUUCUCUUUUGAACCAUGUUCCAUGUCCCAUGUCUCGUGUGUUAGCGUUCCUCUUAUUCAAAACUGAAACAGAUACUGUGAUAACGAUAUAGGAAAGGGCUUUGCAGAAUAUCAGGUUUCUGUUGAUAUCUGUUUAUUUGUUGCUUAUGUGCAUUGGGCAUACAUCAAUGGCUUUGAAAGUCUUGUCAAAGGUGUAGAGAUGAGCUGUGGACUCAUUAAACUAUAUUAUAUGUUUUUAUGCCUAAUACUAUGUUUUCC